UGGGGAAUAUUGCACAAUGGGCGAAAGCCUGAUGCAGCAACGCCGCGUGCGGGAAGAAGGCCCUAGGGUUGUAAACCGCUUUCAGCAGGGAAGAAAAUGACGGUACCUGCAGAAGAAGGUGCGGCCAACUACGUGCCAGCAGCCGCGGUGACACGUAGGCACCAAGCGUUGUCCGGAUUUAUUGGGCGUAAAGAGCUCGUAGGCGGUUCAGUAAGUCGGGUGUGAAAACUCUGGGCUCAACCCAGAGACGCCACCCGAUACUGCUGUGACUUGAGUACGGUAGGGGAGUGGGGAAUUCCUGGUGUAGCGGUGAAAUGCGCAGAUAUCAGGAGGAACACCAGUGGCGAAGGCGCCACUCUGGGCCCGUAACUGACGCUGAGGAGCGAAAGCGUGGGGAGCAAACAGGAUUAGAUACCCAAGUAGUCCCUGAGCGGGCUGGCAAGGCGCAU
Molecule: ribosomal RNA, 449 nt
Filed under: uncultured bacterium
Lineage: Bacteria
Description: bacterial SSU rRNA
Rfam family: Bacterial small subunit ribosomal RNA
Source: RNAcentral